AGGGAAACCGAGUCUUAAUUGGGCGUUAAGUUGCAGGGUAUAGACCCGAAACCCGGUGAUCUAGCCAUGGGCAGGUUGAAGGUUGGGUAACACUAACUGGAGGACCGAACCGACUAAUGUUGAAAAAUUAGCGGAUGACCUGUGGCUGGGGGUGAAAGGCCAAUCAAACCGGGAGAUAGCUGGUUCUCCCCGAAAGCUAUUUAGGUAGCGCCUCGUGAACUCAUCUCCGGGGGUAGAGCACUGUUUCGGCUAGGGGGCCAUCCCGGCUUACCAACCCGAUGCAAACUGCGAAUACCGGAGAAUGUUAUCACGGGAGACACACGGCGGGUGCUAACGUCCGUCGUGAAGAGGGAAACAACCCAGACCGCCAGCUAAGGUCCCAAAGUUAUGGUUAAGUGGGAAACGAUGUGGGAAGGCCCAGACAGCCAGGAUGUUGGCUUAGAAGCAGCCAUCAUUUAAAGAAAGCGUAAUAGCUCACUGGUCGAGUCGGCCUGCGCGGAAGAUGUAACGGGGCUAAACCAUGCACCGAAGCUGCGGCAGCGACGCUGAUGCGUUGUUGGGUAGGGGAGCGUUCUGUAAGCCUGUGAAGGUGGCCUGUGAGGGUUGCUGGAGGUAUCAGAAGUGCGAAUGCUGACAUAAGUAACGAUAAAGCGGGUGAAAAGCCUGCUCGCCGGAAGACCAAGGGUUCCUGUCCAACGUUAAUCGGGGCAGGGUGAGUCGACCCCUAAGGCGAGGCCGAAAGGCGUAGUCGAUGGGAAACGGGUUAAUAUUCCCGUACUUGGUGUUACUGCGAAGGGGGGACGGAGAAGGCUAUGUUGGCCGGGCGACGGUUGUCCCGGUUUAAGCGUGUAGGUGUGUGUUCCAGGUAAAUCCGGUUCACUUUAACACUGAGGUGUGA
RNAcentral lists this ribosomal RNA (898 nucleotides) under Salmonella enterica. RNAcentral's name for it is "partial 23S ribosomal RNA". It matches the Rfam family "Bacterial large subunit ribosomal RNA", at positions 670 to 1566 of the family's 2925-position model. The record is from RNAcentral. Lineage: Bacteria; Pseudomonadati; Pseudomonadota; Gammaproteobacteria; Enterobacterales; Enterobacteriaceae.